GGAUCAUUACGAAAAGAGUAUCCGUACUCGUAAACCCUUUGUGAACAUACCUAUCGUCAGUUGCUUCGGCGGGAGGCCCCCUGGUGGGGUCCCGGGGCCCGGCCGCUCAGCCGGGCUCCCGCCGGAGGAGCGCACCCAAAACUCUUGCUGCAACCCAGUGGAAAUUCCGAGUCAAACAAACAAAAACAAAUCAAAACUUUCAACAACGGAUCUCUUGGUUCUGGCAUCGAUGAAGAACGCAGCGAAAUGCGAUAAGUAAUGUGAAUUGCAGAAUUCAGUGAAUCAUCGAAUCUUUGAACGCACAUUGCGCCCGCCAGUAUUCUGGCGGGCAUGCCUGUUCGAGCGUCAUUUCAACCCCUCAGGCCCUGGUGCCUGGCGUCGGGGCCUUUCGUGUCUCGUACACGAAAGCCCCUAGAGACAUUGGCGGACCCGCCGCGGCUCCGAGCGCAGUAGUAAAAUUCUCGCUCCGGGGACCCGCGGGGGGAAACUUCCUGCCGUAAAACAAAAUUCUUCGGAAAUUCAAAAAGGUUGACCUCGGAUCAGGUAGGAAUACCCGCUGAACUUAAGCAUAUCAAUAAGCGGAGGAAAAGAAACCAACAGGGAUUGCCCCAGUAACGGCGAGUGAAGCGGCAACAGCUCAGAUUUGAAAUCUGGCCUCCAGGCCCGAGUUGUAAUCUGUAGAGGAUGCUUCUGGCAAGGCGCCGUCCGAGUUCCCUGGAACGGGACGCCGGAGAGGGUGAGAGCCCCGUACAGGCGGACGCCGAGCCUCUGUGAAGCUCCUUCGACGAGUCGAGUAGUUUGGGAAUGCUGCUCAAAGCGGGAGGUAAAUUUCUUCUAAAGCUAAAUACCGGCCAGAGACCGAUAGCGCACAAGUAGAGUGAUCGAAAGAUGAAAAGCACUUUGAAAAGAGGGUUAAAAAGCACGUGAAAUUGUUGAAAGGGAAGCGCCUGUGACCAGACUCGCGCCCGGCGGAUCAUCCGGCGUUCUCGCCGGUGCACUCCGCCGGGCUCGGGCCAGCAUCGGUUCUGGCGGGGGGAUAAAGGCGGCGGGGAUGUGGCUCCCCCGGGAGUGUUGUAGCCCGCCGCUCAAUGCCCCCGCCGGGACCGAGGACCGCGC
This 1116-nucleotide ribosomal RNA is filed under the name fungal endophyte. Its description in RNAcentral is "eukaryotic LSU rRNA". The stretch from base 530 to 1116 matches the Rfam family "Eukaryotic large subunit ribosomal RNA", at positions 1 to 598 of the family's 3401-position model. The record is from RNAcentral. Lineage: Eukaryota; Fungi.